GACGAACGCUGGCGGCGUGCUUAACACAUGCAAGUCGAACGGAAAGGCCCUGCUUUUGUGGGGUGCUCGAUUGGCGAACGGGUGAGUAACACGUGAGUAACCUGCCCUUGACUUUGGGAUAACUUCAGGAAACUGGGGCUAAUACCGGAUAUGAGCUCCUGCUGCAUGGUGGGGGUUGGAAAGUUUCGGCGGUUGGGGGUGGACUCGCGGCUUAUCAGCUUGUUGGUGAGGUAGUGGCUUACCAAGGCUUUGACGGGUAGCCGGCCUGAGAGGGGGACCGGCCACAUUGGGACUAAGAUACGGACCAGACGCCUACGGGAGGCAGCAGUCGGGAGUAUUGCACAAUGGGCGGAAGCCUGAUGCAGAAACGCCGCGUGCGGGAUGACGGCCUUCGGGUUGUGAACCGCUUUCGCAUGUGACGAAGCGUGAGUGACGGUAAUGGGUAAAGAAGCACCGGCUAACUACGUG
RNAcentral lists this ribosomal RNA (468 nucleotides) under uncultured bacterium. RNAcentral describes it as "partial 16S ribosomal RNA". It matches the Rfam family "Bacterial small subunit ribosomal RNA", at positions 28 to 507 of the family's 1533-position model. The record is from RNAcentral.